GGCCUUGCUUGGAAUCUUACGGUAGUCGAGUGCUAUGUGUGAAUCUUUCUUAGAGGAGAUGGUUUACUGAAAGGAUUGUUCCACAUUUUUUUUCUCUGCAGCCAAGUAAGAUUUAAAGCUUACGUUGUGCUCAUUGCAGGCAGUAGGGAUGGAGGCUUGAGCAUACCGAUCCCAAGGACAAAUCUUCACCCAUUGUCAUCAAAGGAGUCGUAUACAAAGAAAUUAAAGGAGUCUGUGCAGCGGCUUCGUCCCGAGUUUCAUUUCCCGCGUUCUUCGCUGCUUCAAGGUCCAAGCAUGCAGGGUUGUGGAUUCUCCGGCUCCUGUCAAAGGAUUGCACGAGCCAGUACACUCAGCCAAGGACAUUAAGCAGAUGUGGUCGUUACUGUUUAAGAAGCAACAUCUUUUCCACAGGUUUCCAAGGCAGGGUGAGCUGAGAGAAGAGUAGGCCCUAGCCGUGUGCCGCUCACCUGCGUAGGCACCAUCACAAUGGAGUGUUGUUUGCUCGGCGCACUUCGGCCAUGGUGAUCUUGCGAGCGGUACCAAAGGCCAGGGUCACUUGAUGGUGAAUGCAGUGCCAUCGCUUGCGGGCCCCACUAAGACGCUUGCAAAGGUUGAUGCUACAGCUAUGAGACAACCUUCAAGUGAAGCAGCUUGAUCCACGGGAACAUCACAGAAUCAAGAUGAGCCAGCAGGUCUCUCUGAAGCGACAAUAGACAUGGACAUCUCCGAGGGCUUGUCAGAUGUGCUAGCAGAGGGUGCUGCUACAACUGCCAGCUCGUCCUUCGCUGAUUCAGACAUUGCUGAUGAGCCUUCCGAAAUCCAACAUGUCCUGGUAUGUUUGAUUGUGUCUCCCAGUCGAAGGCCUACCAGCACGCUUGAGGGUGACGCUUCGGCAGCACUGCCUAUGCAUAGCCCAGCAACACCUCGAACAGCAAGGCAUACUACGUCACCACCGGCUACUGCGGCUCUCGUCAGCAGGGCGCGAGCGACGCUUGCUCGUGCCGACUUCUGCGUCGCCGUUCCCGGGGUCCUGGGCUGGAGUCGUGCCAUCAAAUCUGCAGACGUGGUGCUGUGACCAACGGACGCCAGCGGUGAACCCCAGAGUCAAUGUCGGCUCACACGUUGUGGAUAACGCGUGGACAUUUACUCGGCGGCGCGCGCCACUGUCGCAUGUGCUAACUUUUGUUCGCGACGCGCGCGUUGAUAGGCCUUGUGACAUGUUUCGCCGGCGUAUGUGUAGUGAUUUAAGGUUGGGGAGAUGUGGGGAUGCGCGACUCUCACGCGUCCCCUGAUGUUGUUUUCCCCGCAUGUCUCCUGUAGCCCGGCUUCUCUGCGUGGCUAAGCCCGGCGGUGGUUGCGGCGCGUUGCAAGAGAUGGCGCUAGUGUCGCGAUGCUAACGCCACCGAACGGCGGGGUCACUUGCGGCCGGCAGACGACCACCCCCUCCAGCGCAGCCGACACUUAGGGCGCAGCACUGAGAGUCACCUUCGAGCCCCGACAACAAUCCCGCCUCGCAAGCCCGAGCAGUGCAGCUGACCAGCCGCCUCCGAGUCGGCAUCAAGUGUUCGGUGUUCUGUGACAGCGCUUCCUCGGUCGCCAACCUCGGCGGGUACUCAGGCAAACGGAUGUCCCUAGGUGCCAGCCUCAACGUACGGGGGCCUUCUUAAGGGGGGGAGGAUGUGGGGAGCACACGCUGCCACCUUCUCCCGCGGACGCUCGCCAGUCACUUGCGAACGGAGCGCACGCGGCUGCGGGCAUAUGCCCGCACAAGACGCGCGCGCCCGUGCGGGAAGAGGGAAAGUAUCCGGCGGGCGAGGAGGACACUCCCCUCGCGGAAAGGUAAAAAGAUAUAAAAGAGCGCGACCGAGAGACCCCCGGUCUCUCUGACAUCGCUUGACCUACCUGCCGAUAUGGAUUUACCUGCUGAAAGCCGUGAGUGACCUUUUUUUCCCAAGUGACCCCGCCGUUCGGUGGCGUUAGCAUCGCGACACUAGCGCCAUCUCUCGCAACGCGCCGCAACCACCGCCGGGCUUAGCCACGCAGAAAA
Molecule: long non-coding RNA, 2047 nt
Organism: Dermacentor silvarum
Lineage: Eukaryota; Metazoa; Arthropoda; Arachnida; Ixodida; Ixodidae
Exons: 8
Source: RefSeq, a predicted model, not a curated record